GGGAAGCAUCGCUGCAGUGUGAAGGUUGACUUACCAUAUAGAAAGAAAGAGUCUUGACUCACAAAGAUCCAGAAAUAUAGCGGGUGAAGUUCUCUACUCCAGUGUGAAGUUUGCUCAGAAAAACAAAGGCAGAAAAGCAGCUGACGAAACCAGCAUAGGGAAUGGAAAUGAUAUCACCUACGCUGCCGUGAAGUUUGAAGAAACUCCAAGUGCCCAGAAACAUGUAGCAGGCAAAGUUGUGGACCCCCAGUCAAGAUUGGCAACUCAGCACAACCAGGAUUAGAAGCAGCAAGCUCCUGAUUGUAUGACUCAGUCUUCACUGCGGCACAGUGCUGUCCUUAUUGGAUGAGUCAUGGGGGACCUCCAGGAUUUUAAAACACUAGUUAGCAUUCAAUUACAUUGUUAUUUUUGUUUGUAUUGCUUGGUGUGUAACUGUACAAACUAGGAAAUCUUCAAUAAUUUAGCAAAUCUUAAUUAAUUUAGCAUCCCAUCAACCUAUGAACUAUAUGGUAACUGUCCUGGGAGACAGUCAACAUGGUUUUAGGAAAGGCAGAUCGUGUCUAACUAACCUGCUU
This is a long non-coding RNA of Polyodon spathula (Mississippi paddlefish), 575 nucleotides long. RefSeq lists it as uncharacterized. NCBI's taxonomy places the organism in Eukaryota, Metazoa, Chordata, Actinopteri, Acipenseriformes, Polyodontidae. The transcript has 3 exons. The record is from RefSeq and is a predicted model, not a curated record.